CGUGCACUUCGACACUCAACAUGCCUUCUCCUUGUGAACCUUGCAAAGAAUCCUGCAAAGACGGCUCGUGCAAAGAUAAUUGUUCUUGCAAAGAAAAGAACUGCAGCGAAACAUCACAAGGAGGCUGCUGCUAAGAUCUUCCACCAUGGACAGGCCAAACACCAGCCGACCGUCUGUUAACAGCCGCGUGACACGCAUCCUCGAGGUCUGCUUCCCAAUCUCCUUCUCUGUGGUCUUCGUCAUCACUAUUGUACUAUUUUAUUGUAUUAUAUAAAUCUUGUGGUGAUAUA
Vanessa atalanta (red admiral) is the source of this 290-nucleotide long non-coding RNA. RefSeq lists it as uncharacterized. The transcript has 3 exons. The record is from RefSeq and is a predicted model, not a curated record. NCBI's taxonomy places the organism in Eukaryota, Metazoa, Arthropoda, Insecta, Lepidoptera, Nymphalidae.